Molecule: long non-coding RNA, 1328 nt
Filed under: Parus major (Great Tit)
Lineage: Eukaryota; Metazoa; Chordata; Aves; Passeriformes; Paridae
Description: lncRNA (ENSPMJG00000014730.1)
Source: RNAcentral
UUUCUCUGCUCUUACUGGCAAGACAGGAAGGGCUGUUUUCACAACAGUAGAGGACAGUAAAAUGAAGUGCAGUUAUUUCUUAAUGCUGACCCUGGAAAAAUGAUGCCAAGUCUUGUGAUAAGCAACUUAUUUUCUCAAAGGCUUAUGGUGAGGCUGGGGGAAAAUCGUAUGAGACACCUUUAAAAUAUUUCUUGACUAGAUGGCGUAUGGACAAUCAGUCUACAAAUUUAGCAGUCGUGCUCCACCUGUGAGUACGCACGGUAAUGGUGGAAGCUCUCGGACUCCUGCCCUGCCUGAUGAUGGAAAUGUUAUGGGAAUGAUGGCUAGGUCUGCCAGAUACUGGGUGAAGCGAGAACCUCCUCGAUGUUGGGUCAGAGGCUGCACCUGUGCUUGCUCAGAGACUUAUCUAGAAGAAGGUCGUCCUUCUAGAUCUAGGCCACAUCAUCUAGGUGGAGACAACAGCUCGACCUCCAUGAUUAGAGGGGAAUUAUUUUCAGAGGAUGAAGACAAUGAUGGCAGCACUGGGAACACUGGGACAGCCAGCUCUUGGGCUGGUGUUAGAAGUGAUGAUCAUCCCAGGAGUUUUGCAGAGGAGUAUUCGCUGGUUCCCUUAAGCAGACGAAAGCAAUACUCUGCCCAGACUUUUCAUGAGGCAGUAGAAAGAUUUUUAAGAGGGUUCUGAGCUUUGGCACAUCUGUUUUGAAUUUGGGAGCCAAAUCUGUGGAGAUGCAAAUGCCUGUCAUCAUGUGCACCGUUUAUUGUAACACAGGCUGAAGCCUGCAGAAAAGCCAUGAAGGUUCAAAUAGAGUAAAGCUCAGUAUAUUGCUCUUAGAUUGACAGACAGCUAGAAAGUUAUUUGCAUUCCAGUUUUGUCUCCUUGAUAUGUGUUGCUGUCGUCUUCAGGAGCUUAAAAACCUUUAGUAAUCAUAAGGCAUUAAAAAUGGGAAAAUUACUUUGAGUCUAAGCUAAUGUAAUGAUUAUUUAUUUUGCAAUUUAAAGAUAUAGAGGCAAAAUGCAGCCUUUUUUUUUUAAUUUCUCAGCAGUGGAGGCUCUUCUAUUUAAUAACUGUUUGAAGGGUAUUUAAAAUUCAAAGCCCUUGUUUAUUCCAGUAUUUCCUUUCACUAAAUGCUUUAAUUUACCCUAUAGAGGCCUAGAGGGUUUGGUAUUUUUUUGGUGUGUUUUUUCUUUAACUUGAUCUAAAUCUAAAAAUUGUAUUCUACUGCAUAUAUUUGAUUAUUCAUAUAUAAGCAGUUAUGUAUGAUAAUGUGAGAUAGCUAGAGCACAAUCUGCUUAAAAAAAUCUCACACCCUUUAGCUGUUAAGUUGUCA